AACAGAACAGAAGGCAACGUGUCAGAGUCUGUUCAAGCUACAAAAAUAUUUGACCCUUACAUUUCCACAAAAAAAUAAAUAAAACUAAUAAAAAGGAUAAGCAUGAGACAGUUAGAACCUUGAAAAACUGGAGAAAUUAAAAAGCUCAAAAUACACAAAACACAGCAGAAUCUAAAACCUAAUCAUGACAAUAAGAAAAUAAUCUAAAAACAUUAAAAUAUUGUUCAUGUAUUUGUUUCUAAACAAGUGAUGGGCAGAUGUUUUUAUUAAUUAAAUAGGAACUAAAAUUAGAUUAAUGUAGCAAUGUGAUCCUAAUAGAUAAACUCCAAUUCAAAUGUAUUUCCAUUUCAACAAAUGCAAGCCUGCUUUUAAGUUAAUCUUACUUUUCUUAAACUAAGGUUGCCCAAGCCAAGUCCUAAAGAGCUACUAUCCUGCAACUUGUAGAUGCACCCCUUCACAAGCACACCUGAAUCUCAUAAAUGUCUCAUUGCCUCUGCAGAGCUGACGGACAUGCCGAUGAGGGAGAUCACCCUUCUGAUUUAGGGCGUUAGAAGGAAUGAAUCUCAAAGUUGCGGGAUGCUAGCUCUCGAGGACCAGACUUGGGCAUCCCCAAACUAAUGCAUAACUCAUCUCUCAGAGACUGUUUUUAAAAAUUUAAAUUCACAUACAGGCAUUUACAAUGAAUCCAAUUAAUCAAGUCUACUUCAUAAGUGCAGACAACCAGGAUAAUACAAGCUGGACAGACAAUACCGGACUGGACCACCAGUUGAUGACAGCUGCACAGAAACUGAAGAAGAGGAAGAGGAGUGAGGACGAACAAGUGAAUUCCUCCUAGGUGUUAGGGGUGGUCUGCGAGAUGGAGAAGUCAACGAUGCCGAGCUCCUCGUAGUUGUUGGCUAGAACAUCAAAGACGCGGGCCAGGCAGCAAGCGUGUGAUGGCAGCUGGUACUGCAGCACGCUCUUAUGUCUCUCCUUCAGCUCAAUGAUGGGAAAAGACGUCCUCAUGUAGGUGUCAACUGGACAGGAGUCAGCGUCCAACUUGGUGUCCGCCAGACGGAGGAUGAUGGUGUAUCCAUCUCCAAAUCUGACCAAAAGAUGGAAGAAGACAAAAUGUGAAGGUGUUCGCCGCAAUGGUUUUCUUCACUACAAAACAAAUAUAAAUGAGAAUGUUUGCUGAUGUUUCCUUAGAAUCAAAAGCAGAUCAUUGACCAUUUCAACUGUGGGUCCAAUAAGCACCCAAAACUACUAAAACAAAUUACACACUUUGGAAAAAAGUCAAAUUACUUACCCACACACAGCCAUGGGUCAUCCUUUGAUCAAUAAAAUCCUGACUUGUGACAAAACCUCUUUUUUUAUUGAGGUUCCAACAAGUUUUCAACAACCAAAACAAAAAUCUUUUCACUUUGUCCUAAAUUAAUAAUUUACAUUGUAGCUGUUGUGUAUAAUUUCAAUAUUGAUGUUUUUCAAAUAUAAUUUUUUAAAACUGGGUAAUGCUGGCUGUGAACGUGUUGAUUGGCUUCAGGUUUUUCCAAAUUACAUCUAAAACAUUUUAUUCCCACUUUCAGCUCUGUGGAUAUUUUAGUUUUCACUGAAACAUUUCCAUUAGACUUUUAAUAAAUUAGUGCAAGCCUUGUAUCUUUUUUUAACAGCUUGUUCUAUUGUGUUAUUAUCUCAAAUAUAUCUUAUUGAUAAUAAAACUCUUAUUAAUCCUUUAGUCCCAA
Molecule: long non-coding RNA, 1721 nt
Organism: Girardinichthys multiradiatus
Lineage: Eukaryota; Metazoa; Chordata; Actinopteri; Cyprinodontiformes; Goodeidae
Exons: 3
Source: RefSeq, a predicted model, not a curated record